RNAcentral lists this unclassified non-coding RNA (379 nucleotides) under uncultured bacterium. RNAcentral describes it as "contains 16S-23S intergenic spacer region". The record is from RNAcentral.
UCCUCAUUAAAAUGAGGCAGUCUGUCCAGAGUGCUUCGAACUCUCGUUCGAGUGGCAACAGGACACAGGGGUUGCGCUCGUUGCGGGACUUAACCCAACAUCUCACGGCACGAGCUGACGACAGCCAUGCACCACCUGUGCAGGCUCCGAAGAGCACCCGCUUUCACGGGUUUCACCCUGCAUGUCAAGCCCAGGUAAGGUUCUUCGCGUUGCAUCGAAUUAAGCCGCAUGCUCCACCGCUUGUGCGGGCCCCCGUCAAUUUCUUUGAGUUUUAACCUUGCGGCCGUACUCCCCAGGCGGAUGACUUAACGCGUUAGCUGCGCCACCGAAACGCUAAGCGCCCCGACAGCUAGUCAUCAUCGUUUACGGCGUGGACUAC